Molecule: unclassified non-coding RNA, 324 nt
Filed under: Hevea brasiliensis (rubber tree)
Lineage: Eukaryota; Viridiplantae; Streptophyta; Magnoliopsida; Malpighiales; Euphorbiaceae
Source: RNAcentral
AAAAAAGAAACUCAAAACAAAAAGAAGACUCUGUUUGGUGGCUUUAGGAAACGUGCAAUCUGAAUCUACAAUGGCUGUUUUUGACCUAAUCCUUGUUCAUUAAUCUGACUCCUUUGCCAACCAGUUUUCCUUCAUUUUCCCCUAUUGUGACUCUCUCUUCUUACCACCCAAACAGAGCAUAAACGAUCUCUUACUCUCUCUCUGAUGUGGUAAUUUGCUCUUUUAGUUGUAGAAUUUGCUUUUUCAAUUUUGGCAAUUAGAGUUCAGUAUUUUGAUUGAGAAUAUGUCUCUGGGAUUUCUUUAUUUUUGAUUGGAGUGUUUGCG